UACAGAGGUCCCGAGCGUUGUUCGGAUUUAUUGGGCGUAAAGGGUGCGUAGGCGGCGGAGUAAGUUGGGUGUGAAAUCCCGGGGCUCAACCUCGGAAUUGCAUUCAAUACUGCUUCGCUCGAGUACUGGAGAGGAGGCUGGAAUUUACGGUGUAGCAGUGAAAUGCGCAGAUAUCGUAAGGAAGGCCGGUGGCGAAAGCGAGCCUCUGGACAGUUACUGACGCUGAUGCACGAAGGCCAGGGGAGCAAACGGG
Molecule: ribosomal RNA, 253 nt
Filed under: uncultured bacterium
Lineage: Bacteria
Description: partial 16S ribosomal RNA
Rfam family: Bacterial small subunit ribosomal RNA
Source: RNAcentral